This 301-nucleotide ribosomal RNA is filed under the name uncultured bacterium. RNAcentral describes it as "partial 16S ribosomal RNA". It matches the Rfam family "Bacterial small subunit ribosomal RNA", at positions 509 to 808 of the family's 1533-position model. The record is from RNAcentral.
CAGUCGCCGCGGGAAUACGUAGGUCCCGAGCGUUGUCCGGAUUUAUUGGGCGUAAAGCGAGCGCAGGCAGUUAGAUAAGUCUGAAGUUAAAGGCUGUGGCUUAACCAUAGUAUGCUUUGGAAACUGUUUAACUUGAGUGCAAGAGGGGAGAAUGGAAUUCCAUGUGUAGCGGUGAAAUGCGUAGAUAUAUGGAGGAACACCGGUGGCGAAAGCGGCUCUCUGGCUUGUAACUGACGCUGAGGCUCGAAAGCGUGGGGCGCAAACAGGAUUAGAUACCCGCGUAGUCCCUGUCUCUUAUACC